AAUCAUAGGCUUGGAGAAUGGCA
This 23-nucleotide microRNA is filed under the name Alligator mississippiensis (American alligator). RNAcentral's name for it is "ami-miR-9608-3p". Lineage: Eukaryota; Metazoa; Chordata; Crocodylia; Alligatoridae. The record is from miRBase by way of RNAcentral.